CGUCCCUAAGGUGGUGAGCGUUCCCAAGCUGGUGUCGGUGCCGCAGGUGGUUACCGUCAACAAGGUGGUAGCCGCGCCCAGCUACAGCGGCUACAGCGGUGGACUCUCCGGCGGGUACGGCUCUGGCUACAGUUCUGGCUACAGCUCUGGCCAUGGACUCAGCUCUGGCAUCGGCUCCGGUUACGGAUCUGGCUACUCGAAGGGCUGGUGGUGAACGAG
RNAcentral lists this unclassified non-coding RNA (219 nucleotides) under Melitaea cinxia (Glanville fritillary). RNAcentral describes it as "misc RNA ENSMCXG00005007692.1". Lineage: Eukaryota; Metazoa; Arthropoda; Insecta; Lepidoptera; Nymphalidae. The record is from RNAcentral.